RNAcentral lists this transfer RNA (83 nucleotides) under Thermoplasmata archaeon. RNAcentral's name for it is "tRNA-Leu". It matches the Rfam family "tRNA". From Rfam's summary of the family: Transfer RNA (tRNA) molecules are approximately 80 nucleotides in length. RNAcentral also lists the same sequence under 1 other name. Lineage: Archaea; Methanobacteriati; Thermoplasmatota; Thermoplasmata. The record is from RNAcentral.
GCGGGGGUACCCGAGUGGUCAAAGGGGCAGGGCUUAGGACCCUGUGACGUAGGUCUUCAAGGGUUCAAAUCCCUUCCCCCGCA